AACGAACGCUGGCGGCAUGCCUAACACAUGCAAGUCGAACGAGACCUUCGGGUCUAGUGGCGCACGGGUGCGUAACGCGUGGGAACCUGCCCUUAGGUUCGGAAUAACUCCCCGAAAGGGGUGCUAAUACCGGAUAAUGUCUUCGGACCAAAGAUUUAUCGCCUUUGGAUGGGCCCGCGUUGGAUUAGCUAGUUGGUAGGGUAAAAGCCUACCAAGGCGACGAUCCAUAGCUGGUCUGGGAGGAUGAUCAGCCACACUGGGACUGAGACCCAGCCCAGACUCUUGCGGGGCGCAGCAGCGGAGAAACUGGGAGACUGGGCGUAGUCAUACACAAGCAAAGCGGCGGGGGUGAGGAAGCGCUUAGGGUGGUAAAGCUCUGUGAGCGUGGAUGAUACUGACAGGACCGGGAGAAAAAUCUCCGGCUACCUCCGUGCAGGAGGCCGAGGUAAUAAUCGCACAAGCACACUCCUGAAC
Molecule: ribosomal RNA, 474 nt
Filed under: uncultured bacterium
Lineage: Bacteria
Description: partial 16S ribosomal RNA
Rfam family: Bacterial small subunit ribosomal RNA
Source: RNAcentral